This 488-nucleotide ribosomal RNA is filed under the name uncultured bacterium. RNAcentral's name for it is "bacterial SSU rRNA". It matches the Rfam family "Bacterial small subunit ribosomal RNA", at positions 30 to 506 of the family's 1533-position model. The record is from RNAcentral.
AUUGAACGCUGGCGGCAUGCCUAACACAUGCAAGUCGAACGGUAACGCAGAGAGCUUGCUCUCUGGCGACGAGUGGCGGACGGGUGAGUAAUACUUAGGAAUCUGCCCAGUAGUGGGGGACAACUCGGGGAAACUCGAGCUAAUACCGCAUACGCCCUACGGGGGAAAGCGGGGGAUCUUCGGACCUCGCGCUAUUGGAUGAGCCUAAGUCGGAUUAGCUAGUUGGUGGGGUAAAGGCCUACCAAGGCGACGAUCCGUAGCUGGUCUGAGAGGACGAUCAGCCACACUGGGACUGAGACACGGCCCAGACUCCUACGGGAGGCAGCAGUGGGGAAUAUUGGACAAUGGGGGCAACCCUGAUCCAGCAAUGCCGCGUGUGUGAAGAAGGCCUGCGGGUUGUAAAGCACUUUCAGUUAGAGAAGAAAAGCUUACGGUUAAUACCCGUGAGUCUUGACGUAACCUACAGAAGAAGCUCCGGCUAACUCCGU